CCUACGGGAGGCAGCAGUGGGGAAUAUUGCACAAUGGGGGAAACCCUGAUGCAGCGACGCCGCGUGAGUGAAGAAGUAUUUCGGUAUGUAAAGCUCUAUCAGCAGGGAAGAAAAUGACGGUACCUGAUUAAGAAGCCGCGGCUAACGACGUGCCAGCAGCCGCGGUAAUACGUAGGGGGCAAGUGUUAUCCGGAUAUACUGGGUGUAAAGGGAGCGUAGACGGGAGCACAAGUCUGGGGGGAAAUGCCGGGGCUUAACCCCGGGACUGCUUUGGAAACUGUGCAGCUAGAGUGCAGGAGAGGUAAGUGGAAUUCCUGGUGGAGCGGUGAAAUGCGUAGAUAUUUGGAAGAACACCAGUGGCGAAGGCGGCUUACUGG
This 377-nucleotide ribosomal RNA is filed under the name uncultured bacterium. RNAcentral describes it as "partial 16S ribosomal RNA". It matches the Rfam family "Bacterial small subunit ribosomal RNA", at positions 338 to 732 of the family's 1533-position model. The record is from RNAcentral.